GAACCCAGAGAGCUCUGCUUUUACAUUUUAAGGCUUUUUCAUUUCUAGUGGAAACUUCGCCUCCUGACAUCUUCAUGAGGAAUUGCGGCUGCAUUAUCAUAGUACCAUGGACUUUCCAGCUAUUUUUAUGGAGAAAUAGUAAUUCAGAAGGAAUUGGUUUUUCUCAGCCACCCACUGCUGGAGGAGAGCUGCCCUACCCCAGAAACACAGCUAAGGCAGAACCAGCACUCCUAAAAGUAAUAAUUUGGAUUAUUUGCAAACAGAUGGCCAGAAACACAAACACUUUCGGUUACAAUUAUCACUUAUCCCUUUGGCUGCCAAUACUCCACUGCACGCGUCUUUGCUGCUCUAUGCUAAUAACAUGAACUGAAAGGACUUGGAAUGUCAGCUCUUACCUGCUGUACUCCAUGAGUGAGCUGCCAGCUGGGCUGUUUGAGGGAAGCUUUGGGCUUCAAGCAUUAGGUCUGGGCUCUGGAGACUUGUGUUCCUACCAGGGCUCUGCCUUAGAUUUCCUGUGUGACCUUGAACAUAUAAUACUCCCACAACCUCAGCUGCCCAUCUGUUAACACAGGCAUGGUAAUUAUGAUGGGAAUGAAUUUAACUUUGUAACAAUUCUUAAGGUUGAAGACCCUUCAUCAGAAAUGUGGUUCGAACUGUGGCCCUGGAGAUAGAUUCCAUCUGAGAAAGGAAUCUCUCAUGGUGGUAGAGGACAAGGUGCUUUCCGUGGUGUGUUUGCUGAACUGCUAAAGAGUGACUGGAAUGCAGGAACCUUAAAGCUGGGCUCAAACCAUUCUGGUUCUUUUUUAUUAUUUUUCAGAAGUCCCACACUGGCCAUUCCUGUUCCAUCUCUUGACAUGGCCAUUGUACAUCUGCUUCCCCUGCAGACCCAGCAUCACUUUUCUCCAGUAAAUUUAUCUCGGCUAUUACAUCAUCACUUUUUCCUCUGGCCUGUCUUUGCUUCUGGGUGACUCUGAAAAUUGCUUAUUUAUAUAGCUGCAACUCUUUACAUCGCAAAAUAAGCUUUUUUAAAAGCUGUUUAGUGCAUCUGAGUACUUUGGGGGAUGUCCAGCCUUUGUUAAAUGAGCUGUUGCUUCAUGGGAUCAGGAGGACCACGGGGACAGAGCUAAGGAGCCAGGGCUCAGAGCUGACAGGUGAAUGCUCCAUACACACACAGCAAACACACCUGUAAAUGUUAAUUACCCUGCACACCCAGCUGUUAACCUGCCUGAACUGGACAGUCACUGGACAGAUGUUCUCUUUAGUAAGAGCCAGGCUCUUCUGUCCUUCCCCUCCUCACAGGGGGAACCUGCCUUGUACAGAUUACUUCUGUGCUGCCCAAGUGUUCACCCUCAUCACCUCCUGCAUGCACUGGCCAGUACAUCUUACUCACCAGGCUGUGUGUAACUGCCACACAGUCAAACCAUCCUAAUUUCAAAUAUUUUCUUUUCUGUUUUCUAUGAACAGCUUUCACUAUAAACAUUA
Cyanistes caeruleus (blue tit) is the source of this 1482-nucleotide long non-coding RNA. RefSeq lists it as uncharacterized. NCBI's taxonomy places the organism in Eukaryota, Metazoa, Chordata, Aves, Passeriformes, Paridae. The record is from RefSeq and is a predicted model, not a curated record.